GGAGGAAAAGAAACCAACAGGGAUUGCCUCAGUAACGGCGAGUGAAGCGGCAACAGCUCAAAUUUUAAAGCUGACGUCUUUGGCGUCCGCGUUGUAAUUUGGAGAGGCAUCUUCGGUUUGGGCGCCAGCCUAUGUUCCUUGGAACAGGACGUCACAGAGGGUGAGAAUCCCGUGCCUGGCUGGCUGUCCCUUUCCAUGUGAAGUGCCUUCGACGAGUCGAGUUGUUUGGGAAUGCAGCUCAAAAUGGGUGGUAAAUUUCAUCUAAAGCUAAAUAUUGGCGGGAGACCGAUAGCGCACAAGUAGAGUGAUCGAAAGAUGAAAAGCACUUUGAAAAUAGAGUUAAAAAGUACGUGAAAUUGUUGAAAGGGAAGCGCUUGAGACCAGACUCGGCCGGGGAUGAUCAGCCGUCCUUCUGGGCGGUGCACUCGUUUCCGGCCGGGCCAGCAUCGGUUGAGACGGCGGGAUAAAGGCCCGGGGAAUGUGGCUCCUUUCGGGGAGUGUUAUAGCCCCGGGCGCAAUGCCGCCAGCCUCGACCGAGGACCGCGCUUCAUUGCUAGGAUGCUGGCGUAAUGGUCUUCAGCGACCCGUCUUGAAACACGGACCAAGGAGUCUAACAUCUAUGCGAGUGUUUGGGUGUCAAACCCUUGCGCGUAAUGAAAGUGAACGGAGGUGGGAACCCCUCGCGGGGCGCACCAUCGACCGGUCCUGAUGUCUUCGGAUGGAUCUGAGUAGGAGCAUAGCUGUUGGGACCCGAAAGAUGGUGAACUAUGCCUGAAUAGGGUGAAGCCAGAGGAAACUCUGGUGGAGGCUCGCAGCGGUUCUGACGUGCAAAUCGAUCGUCAAAUUUGGGUAUAGGGGCG
Molecule: ribosomal RNA, 860 nt
Filed under: Gyromitra esculenta
Lineage: Eukaryota; Fungi; Ascomycota; Pezizomycetes; Pezizales; Discinaceae
Description: eukaryotic LSU rRNA
Rfam family: Eukaryotic large subunit ribosomal RNA
Source: RNAcentral